AAGGUGCCACAGGACCCUCUGUUGCUUUUUACAGAUUCAGACUAACACGGCUACCCCUCUGAUACUGAGCGAACCAGGCACUUAUAAGAGCAGUUUGGUUUUAUCCUUAGCUAUAGCUUGGACUAUUCAUUACCUGGGAAGGUUAGACUGACUAUGCAGGUGGGGACAGGAAGGUUCCCCCAGGACAUGCUGGCAGGAAGCUGGGGGUAUUUGUUGUUCUCUGGAUCAAAACCCCCGUUGGAGUUGGGCCUUGGGGGUUGGGAUACCUAUAACUUACAUUUUCUUUUUUGAAUGCAGGAUCCAAGGAGGAGAUCCAAGAUGUGUACGAACAUUCUGUUUAAUGAAAGAUGAACUCCUCUGCCUACUACAGAGAGCCAGAGUGGACAAAACAUUCAGGAAACGAACAAGAACUGGAAUCAGUGACUUAUUUCCUGUAUCUCUGAGCAGGCACGGACAGCACACACUGAUCAGAAGACACUCUGGGGGCAUGGACUUACUCAUUCCAACCCUGUGUCCAGUGUUCGUUAUCUGGAGAGCCUGCUGGGUAGACAUAAACCGGUAUUUUGGCAUGGUCACAAACCUGUGGGAGUUUGGAGGCUUUUGGAAAUGGGCAGACCUAUGAGACUAAAAGCUGCAGAGAUGACAUUAUAUAGCCAAAUAGCUUCUGCCUUUUUCAUUUCCUCACUUAGGUCAAAGUCAGGCCAGCCUACUUCACUAACCCUGAAUACUCUUAUUUCUCAAACUUAAACACAAGAUACUCUCUUCCAUUUCUACACUGCAGGAGCUCUCUUAGGUCCUGACCCUGCAAGAUGCUUCCAUUGACUGCAGUGGGAAUUGAGGGUCCCUGCCACUUGGCAAUUAACUAUCCUUCAGCUGAGGCCAGGGUGGGGACAACUUGUAGUUUUGCCGAUACUAGGAUCCAGCUGGAGGAGCAGUGAGGACAUUCAGGAUUCUGCUAGCAUUUCCAGGAAAGAGCUGGGGCUGAGAAUCUUCGCAGAAUCCAUUACGUUACCUGGAAAUGUUAUUAGAUUCCUCAUUCAUCACUUAAGUCUUUGCUUAAUUAUCAAAGUAGUUAUAAAGGCCAGCCCUGUAACUGUGCUGAGUAGCUCACUUGUGGUGCAUGUUUCAAAGCCUCUCUAAGCAUCUUUUUGGAAAGCAUGGGAAUCAUGGAGAAAUGAGAGACUAUCCUCUUAAUCCAUGAGCCAGCCUGGGUCCUCCUUCUCUGCCUUCCUCAUCGUGAUCAUUGCCAUCGUCAUCACAUGACACAGUGAGACGCACACUGAAGUCCCCGGGAAAGCAUCUGGGACAGUAAAUGCUCAGUAGAGCCCCAUCCCAACUAACAUUUCUGGAAACUUACGCUCUUUUCAGUGACCUGCAAAAAAAUUCUUCAAAAUCA
Molecule: non-coding RNA, 1396 nt
Organism: Chrysemys picta bellii (western painted turtle)
Lineage: Eukaryota; Metazoa; Chordata; Testudines; Emydidae
Source: RefSeq, a predicted model, not a curated record